This is a long non-coding RNA of Sapajus apella (tufted capuchin), 124 nucleotides long. RefSeq lists it as uncharacterized. Lineage: Eukaryota; Metazoa; Chordata; Mammalia; Primates; Cebidae. The transcript has 2 exons. The record is from RefSeq and is a predicted model, not a curated record.
UUGGGAGGCCGGGGCAGGAGGAUCACCUGAGCCUGGUAGGUCGAGGCUGCGGUGCGCUGUGAUGGUGCCACUAUAGUCCAGCCUGGGUGACAGAGCAAGACCCUGUUCCAAAAAAAAAAAAAAA